CCUACGGGCGGCAGCAGUGGGGAAUAUUGCACAAUGGGCGCAAGCCUGAUGCGGCCAUGCCGCGUGUGUGAAGAAGGCCCUCGGGUUGUAAAGCACUUUCAGCGGGGAGGAAGGCGUUAAGGUUAAUAACCUUGGCGAUUGACGUUACCCGCAGAAGAAGCACCGGCUAACUCCGUGCCAGCAGCCGCGGUAAUACGGAGGGUGCAAGCGUUAAUCGGAAUUACUGGGCGUAAAGCGCACGCAGGCGGUCUGUCAAGUCGGAUGUGAAAUCCCCGGGCUCAACCUGGGAACUGCAUUCGAAACUGGCAGGCUAGAGUCUUGUAGAGGGGGGUAGAAUUCCAGGUGUAGCGGUGAAAUGCGUAGAGAUCUGGAGGAAUACCGGUGGCGAAGGCGGCCCCCUGGACAAAGACUGACGCUCAGGUGCGAAAGCGUGGGGAGCAAACAGGAUUAGAUACCCUUGUAGUC
Molecule: ribosomal RNA, 465 nt
Filed under: uncultured Klebsiella sp.
Lineage: Bacteria; Pseudomonadati; Pseudomonadota; Gammaproteobacteria; Enterobacterales; Enterobacteriaceae
Description: bacterial SSU rRNA
Rfam family: Bacterial small subunit ribosomal RNA
Source: RNAcentral